RNAcentral lists this ribosomal RNA (127 nucleotides) under Saimiri boliviensis boliviensis (Bolivian squirrel monkey). The record is from RNAcentral. Lineage: Eukaryota; Metazoa; Chordata; Mammalia; Primates; Cebidae.
AGGUACAGUCAUGCCAUCCUGAGCAUACCCAGUCUUGUCUGAUCUUUGAAGCUAAGCAGAGUUAGGCCUGAUUAGUACAGAAAUACCUUGGAGAUACUGCAGACUUGGUUUGAGACCACUGUAAUAA